RNAcentral lists this ribosomal RNA (1298 nucleotides) under Endoxyla cinereus. RNAcentral's name for it is "16S ribosomal RNA". Lineage: Eukaryota; Metazoa; Arthropoda; Insecta; Lepidoptera; Cossidae. The record is from RNAcentral.
UUUAUAGUUAGGGGAAGUUAUAGUAUUUUUUAUAGAAAAAAUUAAUAUUUUUAUAGAGAAUUAGUAUUGAAAAAGAAAAUUGAAAUAAAAUUUAAAAUAAAUUUAAUUAAAAGUAAUUUUAAUUUAUUGUAUCUUGUGUAUCAGAGUUUAUUAAUAAUUUAUUUAUAAGUUAAAUUUUUUCGAAUUUAGAAGAGUUAAUUAAUUAAGAAAGUUAUUGUAGCAAAAAUAUUUUUAAUAAUUAAUUUGUAAUGAAAUGUUAAUCGUUUUUAAAUAUAUCUAGUUUUUUUAGAAAAAAAUUUAAUUUUGAAUUUAAAUAUAUAUAAUUUUUUUUUAAAAAAAAAAUUAUAUAUUUAAAUUUAAUAUUUUAAGGGAUAAGCUUUAAAUUAAAUAGUUAUAAUAUUUUUUUUUAAUAAAAAAAUUUUUAGAAUUUAUAUUGUUUAUAAAUUAUAUUUUAUUAUAAAUAAUUUUUGUAAAAUAAAAAUUUUAAUUUUAUUUAAUUUUAUAUAAAAAAAAAUUUUUUAAUUAAAAAAAUUUUGUUAUAAUGAUAAAAUUAGUAUAUAAAUAUUUAAAUAUAUAUAUAUAUAUAUAUUUAAUUUAAUUAAAAAUUUGAUAAUUAAUUAAAAGGAAUUCGGCAAAAUUUUAUAUUCACUUGUUUAUCAAAAACAUGUCUUUUUGUAAAUAAUUUAAAGUCUAAUCUGCCCACUGAUUUUAUAUUAAAGGGCUGCAGUAUAUUGACUGUACAAAGGUAGCAUAAUCAUUAGUCUCUUAAUUGGUGACUUGUAUGAAAGAUUGGAUGAAAUAUAUAGUGUCUCUAAAUUAUUAAAUAUAAUUUAAUUUUUUAGUAAAAAAGCUAAAAUAAUUUUAAAAGACGAGAAGACCCUAUAGAGUUUUAUAAUUUUAAAAAUUAAAAUUAUUUAUAAAAUUUAAUAAAUUUAAUUUAUUAAAAUUAUUUUAUUGGGGUGAUAGAAAAAUUUAAUUAACUUUUUUUAAAAUUUAACAUAUAUAAGUGAUUAAAAGAUCCAAAAUUUUUGAUUAUAAGAAAAAAUUACCUUAGGGAUAACAGCGUAAUUUUUUUUUUUAGUUCAAAUAAGAAAAAAAGUUUGCGACCUCGAUGUUGGAUUAAGAUAAAAUUUAAAUGUAAAAGUUUAAAAUUUUGAUCUGUUCGAUCAUUAAAAUCUUACAUGAUCUGAGUUCAAACCGGUGUAAGCCAGGUUGGUUUCUAUCUUUAAAAAAAUAAAAUAUUUUAGUACGAAAGGAAUAAAUAUUAAAAAUAGUUUUAUUAUAAAUUGAAUAUAAUU